AGCGAACGUUUGCGGCGGGCUUAACACAUGCAAGUCGAACGAGAAUCCCUUCGGGGAGGAAAGUGGCGCACGGGUGCGUAACACGUGGAUAACCAACCCAUUGGUUUGGGACAACACCGGGAAACUGGUGCUAAUACCAGAUGUGUCGCAGCUGUCUUCAGGCGGUUGCGAGAAAGGCCCGCAAGGGUCGCCAACGGACGGGUCCGCGUCCCAUCAGCUAGUUGGUGAGGUAAUGGCUCACCAAGGCAAAGACGGGUAGCUGGUCUGAGAGGAUGAUCAGCCACACUGGAACUGAGACACGGUCCAGACUCCUACGGGAGGCAGCAGUGGGGAAUAUUGCGCAAUGGGCGAAAGCCUGACGCAGCCACGCCGCGUGGGCGAUGAAGGCCUUCGGUCGUAAGCUCUGUGGGGGAGAGAAAAGACCGGUGAAGAGCGGCCCUGACGGUAUCCCUUAGCAAGCACCGGCUAACUCCGUGCCAGCAGCCGCGGUAA
This 492-nucleotide ribosomal RNA is filed under the name uncultured bacterium. RNAcentral describes it as "bacterial SSU rRNA". It matches the Rfam family "Bacterial small subunit ribosomal RNA", at positions 29 to 523 of the family's 1533-position model. The record is from RNAcentral.